This 128-nucleotide ribosomal RNA is filed under the name Trypanosoma vegrandis. RNAcentral describes it as "partial small subunit ribosomal RNA". It matches the Rfam family "Eukaryotic small subunit ribosomal RNA", at positions 453 to 572 of the family's 1831-position model. The record is from RNAcentral. Lineage: Eukaryota; Euglenozoa; Kinetoplastea; Trypanosomatida; Trypanosomatidae.
AAAAAAAAACGAUGAGGCAGCGAAAAGAAAUAGAGCCGGCAGUGCCACUGGCAUUGCCGUUUUCAAUGGGGGAUAUUUAAACCCAUCCAAAAUCGAGUAUCGAUUGGAGGACAAGUCUGGUGCCAGCA